AAAAACUUUUAAAGGAUUUUGGGAUAUUUUAAUAAAAGGAUAUAAGUUUUACUGAAGUUUUUGAUUGCUUUUUUUCUAUUAGAAAAACCCAAACUACUGAAAGGUAAAUUUCACCAUCAGUAAAUGACAACUAUCUGACCUUCUAAAACAAAACUACUGCUGUGAUAAGCGAAUUGGGAGAACUCCUGUUUUUUCCAUAUAAAAUUCCAGUCUGUACAGAUCUCACUGAAGUCUAACCCAGCCUCUGCUUCAAGUCUACGCUGCUGUAUUCUUUGAUGGGGUGGAGUGGCUCCCAUGCUGGUCUGUAUGGGGAAGUGGUGAGAUGGGCUCUUCUGAACGUGACUACACACAAGGUGACAAGUGUCGUGGGUAAAAGAAAAACAGCUGGAGAAGAAAGAUCAUAAAUUUUGGUAGUUGAAGACAUGCCAUUUAAACAAGGAGCAAAGGUGAGCCUCACUCAGAUGGCAGAGUUUGCAUCAAGUCUCAAAGGCAGUGAGUGAGAUAGCCAUGUGCGUAUUUUAGGAAGAUCACUAAGGCAGAGGGCAUAUGCAGAGCAAAGGAGAGGGCACGACUCACAUGUGUGGGGAAAGAGGCCAGGGUGGCUGGAGUGGAAUGAUUAUGGCAGACAGAGGAGUAAGG
Molecule: long non-coding RNA, 639 nt
Filed under: Equus caballus (horse)
Lineage: Eukaryota; Metazoa; Chordata; Mammalia; Perissodactyla; Equidae
Description: lncRNA (ENSECAG00000052903.1)
Source: RNAcentral